RNAcentral lists this ribosomal RNA (468 nucleotides) under uncultured bacterium. Its description in RNAcentral is "partial 16S ribosomal RNA". It matches the Rfam family "Bacterial small subunit ribosomal RNA", at positions 28 to 507 of the family's 1533-position model. The record is from RNAcentral.
GACGAACGCUGGCGGCGUGCUUAACACAUGCAAGUCGAACGGAAAGGCCCUGCUUUUGUGGGGUGCUCGAGUGGCGAACGGGUGAGUAACACGUGAGUAACCUGCCCUUGACUUUGGGAUAACUUCAGGAAACUGGGGCUAAUACCGGAUAGGAGCUCCUGCUGCACGGUGGGGGUUGGAAAGAUUCGGCGGUUGGGGAUGGACUCGCGGCUUAUCAGCUUGUUGGUGAGGUAGUGGCUUACCAAGGCUUUGACGGGUAGCCGGCCUGAGAGGGUGACCGGCCACAAUGGGACUGAGAUACGGCCCAGACUCCUACGGGAGGCAGCAGUGGGGAAUAUUGCACAAUGGGCGGAAGCCUGAUGCAGCAACGCCGCGUGCGGGAUAACGGCCUUCGGGUUGUAAACCGCUUUCGCCGGUGACGAAGCGUGAGUGACGGUAAUGGGUAAAGAAGCACCGGCUAACUACGUG